ACAUCCAAUGCAGAAUACCAAUUUAAGUUACAAAUGCCAUUGCACUUUAAGAUAUAUUCAGGAAAAACAAGAACAGAAUUUUCUUAAGUUAAAGGUCUAGGAAAAACAACCAUACCUACCUACAGCUGAUUUAUUUAUUGAUGGCAGUAUUAAACUAGACCAUCCCCAUGUGGGCCAUACAGACCUCAAACGUAUUCAUAUACCAAAAUACAAAGGGUUUACUUACUCCACGCAGUCUUCCUGGGCAGAUGCCACAUGCUGACUUGGGGGCUUUGCCAACCUUCUUGGUGUACAGGUACACAAUACGGUUACCGGGCGUC
Molecule: long non-coding RNA, 320 nt
Organism: Sander lucioperca (pikeperch)
Lineage: Eukaryota; Metazoa; Chordata; Actinopteri; Perciformes; Percidae
Exons: 2
Source: RefSeq, a predicted model, not a curated record